RNAcentral lists this ribosomal RNA (230 nucleotides) under uncultured bacterium. RNAcentral describes it as "partial 16S ribosomal RNA". It matches the Rfam family "Bacterial small subunit ribosomal RNA", at positions 118 to 347 of the family's 1533-position model. The record is from RNAcentral.
UGGGCAACCUGCCCCUCUCUCUGGGAUAACCCCGGGAAACCGGGGCUAAUACCGGAUGUGACGCGCCCGCGCAUGGGGGUGUGUGGAAAGAUUUAUUGGCCAGGGAUGGGCUCGCGGCCUAUCAGCUUGUUGGUGGGGUGAUGGCCUACCAAGGCGACGACGGGUAGCCGGCCUGAGAGGGCGACCGGCCACACUGGGACUGAGACACGGCCCAGACUCCUACGGGAGCA